Molecule: ribosomal RNA, 253 nt
Filed under: uncultured bacterium
Lineage: Bacteria
Description: partial 16S ribosomal RNA
Rfam family: Bacterial small subunit ribosomal RNA
Source: RNAcentral
UACAGAGGAGCCAAGCGUUGUCCGGAUUGACUGGGCGUAAAGCGCACGCAGGCGGAUACGCGCGUGGGGUGUGAAAUCUGGCCGCUUAACGGCCAGGCGCCAUCCCAUACGGCGUGUCUGGAGCUGUGCAGAGGUCGGUGGAAUUCCCGGUGUAGCGGUGAAAUGCGUAGAGAUCGGGAGGAACACCAGUGGCGAAGGCGGCUACCUGGACCAGCACUGACACUGAGGCACGAAAGCGUGGGGAGCAAACAGG